Molecule: long non-coding RNA, 824 nt
Organism: Vicugna pacos (alpaca)
Lineage: Eukaryota; Metazoa; Chordata; Mammalia; Artiodactyla; Camelidae
Source: RefSeq, a predicted model, not a curated record
CGCAGCUCCGCCCUCUUUUCGAGGCUGGCUGCGCGGGUGGGAGUCAUGGCGGUCUCGGCCCGGUCUGAAUGCGGCCAGCAAUCUCGGGCCUUUGGCGGCGGCUUUUCUUUGAUACCUGCAGAGACAGUGAGAAGCAGACCUGCAAGUUGAAGCUUAAAAGCAGUGAAUGAAGCCCUGAAAUUAAAGGUGCUGGCUGCAGACUUUGAGUGUAAGGAUCUCUGUGGUGAAAUUUUUAUAAACGGUACAGUCUCAGCCUGUUUCUGAGGCUGAAAAGGAUGCUCCAGAAGACACUAACUAGCAGCAGUGCCAUGGACCCCAGGCGGAAUUUUUCUCGUGUCUGCAGUGUAUGAGACAGAACUGAACAGCUUUACCUGAAGCAAGUGAAAUGACUCCUGUUUGUAAGCUUUGUUUCCAUCUUGCUGAAGAAGCUCCACAGGCCUGUGAUGGUUGUCUCCCAGUGAUGUCAGAUGGGAUCAGCACAAUCCCCCGUGCUAGUUGUUCAUGCUUAUAAAAUAAAACCCCCAAAGGAGAAUCAUUUAACAGUUUUUUGGACUUCAUCUUCAAAGGUAGACAAAGAGUUGAAGUGAUAGUUUUUCCCAGAAAAUCUUUGGCAGUUAGUGAAGAACAUUCAGAACACUACGGUUUAGGUUAUCUUGGUCUAACUCGUAGUGGUGGGAUAGCAAUGGUUGGAAAAGGAGAGUAAUUAACAUGGACUUGUUCUGUUGGGGGAGACUGAGGGGAAACAGGUGUUCAGCCUAGAAAAAUAUCUCAGUGGAUUUCCUAUGAAGUCAAUGUGUCAUGGCUUUAACUUUGAAACAAAAUUU